GUUGAACGCUGGCGGCAGGCCUAAAACAUGCAAGUCGAGCGGAUGAACGGCGCUUGUUCCUGUAUUCCGCGGCGGGCGGAUGUGUCAUUUCUAGGCAUCUGCCUGGUAGUGGGGGAUUACGUUCGGUAAGGGGCGCUAAUACCGCAUACGACCUUCGGGAGAACGUGGGGGUUCUUUGGUUCUCACGCUAUCCGCUGUGCCUAGGACGGAUUCGCUAGUUGGUGUGGUAAUGUCCUACCCAGGCGCCGUUCCGUAGCUAGUCUGAGAGGAUGAUCUGUCACACUGGAACUGAGACACGGUCCAGACUCCUACGGGAGGCAGCAGUGUGGAAUAUUGGACAAUGGGCGAAAGCCUGAUCCAGCCAUGCCGCGUGUGUGAAGAAGGUCUUCUGAUUGUAAAGCUCUUUUAGUUGGGAGGAAGGGCAGUGAUAUUAAACCUGGCUGUUUUGACGUUACCAACAAAGUAAGCACCGGCUAACUUCGUG
This 484-nucleotide ribosomal RNA is filed under the name uncultured bacterium. RNAcentral's name for it is "partial 16S ribosomal RNA". It matches the Rfam family "Bacterial small subunit ribosomal RNA", at positions 28 to 507 of the family's 1533-position model. The record is from RNAcentral.